GGGCCUGUAGUUAAACGGUAUAACGUACCCUUCGCAUGGGUAUAUUGGGGGUUCAAUUCCCCCCAGGUCCA
RNAcentral lists this transfer RNA (71 nucleotides) under Candidatus Shapirobacteria bacterium. RNAcentral's name for it is "tRNA-Ala". It matches the Rfam family "tRNA". Rfam says of the family: Transfer RNA (tRNA) molecules are approximately 80 nucleotides in length. Their secondary structure includes four short double-helical elements and three loops (D, anti-codon, and T loops). Further hydrogen bonds mediate the characteristic L-shaped molecular structure. tRNAs have two regions of fundamental functional importance: the anti-codon, which is responsible for specific mRNA codon recognition, and the 3' end, to which the tRNAs corresponding amino acid is attached (by aminoacyl-tRNA synthetases). tRNAs cope with the degeneracy of the genetic code in two manners: having more than one tRNA (with a specific anti-codon) for a particular amino acid; and 'wobble' base-pairing, i.e. permitting non-standard base-pairing at the 3rd anti-codon position. Lineage: Bacteria; Candidatus Shapironibacteriota. The record is from RNAcentral.